Lycium barbarum (goji berry) is the source of this 542-nucleotide long non-coding RNA. RefSeq lists it as uncharacterized. The transcript is spliced from 3 exons. The record is from RefSeq and is a predicted model, not a curated record. Lineage: Eukaryota; Viridiplantae; Streptophyta; Magnoliopsida; Solanales; Solanaceae.
GAGAGAGCAACAAGCCAUGGAGGCUCACGGCUUGGACAUGGAAAAAAUCAAGUCCAAAUUUUGCCUCUCCAAAAUUAAUUCUUUGGUACAAACCCACUAAUUAGAGGUCCCUAAGUAACGUGGAAGUGUCGUUGGAGCGAGCAAGCCAUCAAAUUUGUGGAUUUCAAACCCUAGCCUAAUGGUGGAGUAAAGAAGAAAUACCUUGGGGAGCCCGAGGCGUAGAUCGGAAAUUACUUUAGAUUGGCCAUCUUGGAGUGCGUACGAGGUACAGACGCACAGUUUGGUGAUUCACCAGUUUAGGACAUCCCCAUUCUGCGGUUUGGAGUGCUCUUCUCAUUUCAGAGCAUAUAUGUUGAUAUAUAUUUUGUUCGCUAUGUAUGUAUAUGUUUGUUCAGGGGUACGGCGGGGCCCUGUCCCGCCAUAUGUUUUGAUCGGUCUAUUUAGAGGUCUGUAGACGUAUUUGUGGGUGUGUGUGCCUACUUCUGUACAGUUGUGUUUAUAUGAUUCUAUUCGUUAUGGCAGCCUUGUCGGCGUGCAUUUGU